Molecule: ribosomal RNA, 253 nt
Filed under: uncultured prokaryote
Description: partial 16S ribosomal RNA
Rfam family: Bacterial small subunit ribosomal RNA
Source: RNAcentral
ACGAAGGUCCCAAGCGUUAUCCGGAUUUAUUGGGUUUAAAGGGUGCGUAGGUGGGUUGGUAAGUCAGUGGUGAAAUCCCCGAGCUUAACUUGGGAACUGCCAUUGAUACUAUCAGUCUUGAAUACCGUGGAGGUUAGCGGAAUAUGUCAUGUAGCGGUGAAAUGCUUAGAUAUGACAUAGAACACCAAUUGCGAAGGCAGCUGGCUACACGAAUAUUGACACUGAGGCACGAAAGCGUGGGGAUCAAACAGGA